GAUGAACGCUGGCGGCGUGCUUAACACAUGCAAGUCGAACGGUGAACACGGAGCUUGCUCUGUGGGAUCAGUGGCGAACGGGUGAGUAACACGUGAGCAACCUGCCCCUGACUCUGGGAUAAGCGCUGGAAACGGCGUCUAAUACUGGAUAUGUGACGUGACCGCAUGGUCUGCGUUUGGAAAGAUUUUUCGGUUGGGGAUGGGCUCGCGGCCUAUCAGCUUGUUGGUGAGGUAAUGGCUCACCAAGGCGUCGACGGGUAGCCGGCCUGAGAGGGUGACCGGCCACACUGGGACUGAGACACGGCCCAGACUCCUACGGGAGGCAGCAGUGGGGAAUAUUGCACAAUGGGCGCAAGCCUGACGCAGCAACGCCGCGUGAGGGAUGACGGCCUUCGGGUUGUAAACCUCUUUUAGCAGGGAAGAAGCGAAAGUGACGGUACCUGCAGAAAAAGCGCCGGCUAACUACGUG
Molecule: ribosomal RNA, 469 nt
Filed under: uncultured bacterium
Lineage: Bacteria
Description: partial 16S ribosomal RNA
Rfam family: Bacterial small subunit ribosomal RNA
Source: RNAcentral